UGGACAAACUACUUGAUGCUGGCCUCUAU
This 29-nucleotide non-coding RNA is filed under the name Mus musculus (house mouse). The record is from RNAcentral. Lineage: Eukaryota; Metazoa; Chordata; Mammalia; Rodentia; Muridae.